GAACAGUAGUCAUCAAAAGUCUUUCAGAAAUUAUCAACAGUGCUUCUCUGGGAAAAACUGAGUUUCCCAACAAAAUGAUCGUUCUCUUAUGGCUUGGAAGAUCUCAGGAGGAAGAGACUUUGAAUCAAGGACACCAAUCUAUGCAGCAAAACAUCCAUCCCAGGAAUAAGGAAAGAUUCUUCAACUGAAAACUACACAAGUGGAUACCCCCUGAAGGGUGAAAGUGAGGUGCAACAGAGGACUUAGUU
Molecule: long non-coding RNA, 248 nt
Organism: Leopardus geoffroyi (Geoffroy's cat)
Lineage: Eukaryota; Metazoa; Chordata; Mammalia; Carnivora; Felidae
Exons: 3
Source: RefSeq, a predicted model, not a curated record